AGUGAGUCUGACGGAGCACGCCGCGUGAGUGAUGAAGGUUUUCGGAUCGUAAAACUCUGUUGUUAGGGAAGAACAAGUACCGUUCGAAUAGGGCGGUACCUUGACGGUACCUAACCAGAAAGCCACGGCUAACUACGUGCCAGCAGCCGCGGUAAUACGUAGGUGGCAAGCGUUGUCCGGAAUUAUUGGGCGUAAAGCGCGCGCAGGCGGUUUCUUAAGUCUGAUGUGAAAGCCCCCGGCUCAACCGGGGAGGGUCAUUGGAAACUGGGGAACUUGAGUGCAGAAGAGGAGAGUGGAAUUCCACGUGUAGCGGUGAAAUGCGUAGAGAUGUGGAGGAACACCAGUGGCGAAGGCGACUCUCUGGUCUGUAACUGACGCUGAGGCGCGAAAGCGUGGGGAGCGAACAGGAUUAGAUACC
RNAcentral lists this ribosomal RNA (418 nucleotides) under Bacillus haynesii. Its description in RNAcentral is "bacterial SSU rRNA". It matches the Rfam family "Bacterial small subunit ribosomal RNA", at positions 376 to 786 of the family's 1533-position model. The record is from RNAcentral. Lineage: Bacteria; Bacillati; Bacillota; Bacilli; Caryophanales; Bacillaceae.